CAUAAACUCAAAACCCUAACCCAGUUCAGUUCACUGAGCUCCAUCAAUGGCGUCCCAGAUGGCCAUUCUAGGACGGGCCCGAAGCCUGUUCAAAACCCCAAACCAAACCUUCAAGACCAUCACCACCUUCACAUUUCUCUGCCAGGAGCCCCAACUCGCCGAGCCAACCGGCACAGAGGCAACGCCACUCCCUCCGAACCCUGCCACGGGAAGCCCUCUCUACAACGAGAACUGGCGCAGCCCGAUUCCCGCCAGCUCGACCUUGACUCAGUCCGUCGUCCCAUUGGAGUUCCUCCGGCAGUCGCCGAGCUCACGCAUCCAAGCCUUGUCGCAAACACUAGACGUCCAGAGCCUCAUGAACGUGUUCGCCGAUUGGAUGACGUCGCAGAGAUGGGCCGACAUGAAACAGCUCUUCGAGUUUUGGAUUCGGUCUCUGGACAAGAAUGGGAAGCCCAACAAGCCCGACGUGAACAUGUAUAACCAUUACCUGAGAGCCAAUUUGAUGAUCGGAGCAUCGGCCGGAGAGUUGCUGGAUCUGGUUGCUCAUAUGGAGGACUAUGCCAUCAAUCCCAAUACGGCGUCCUACAAUCUGGUGCUCAAGGCCAUGUACCAGGCAAAUGAAACUGAGGCCGCCCAGAAAUUGAUCGAAAGGAUGCUGCAAACGGGGAAAGAAUCUUUACCUGAUAAUGAGUCAUAUGACUUGAUCCUUGGCAUGCUUUUAGAAAGAGACCAGAUUGAGGCUGCAUUGAAAUAUAUAGAUUUGACAUUAAAAUCUGGUAAUACAUUGUCACUGAAGGUUUUUGGUGAGUUUGUGCGAGGUUGUGUCAAUAAGGGCAGGCUGGAUACAUUGGUGUCAGUUAUUGAACGGUGCAAGUCAAUGGAACAGAACAAAGCUCUCUGUCCGCCUUGGAACAUGUGCAAGACCAUUGCCGAAAUUGCUGUACAAGAGGAUGAUAGCAAGUUGGCAUAUCAUGCCCUGGAGUUCAUGGCUAAAUGGAUUGCUAGAUGUGAACAAGCAAGGCCCCCUGUCUUGCUUUCUGUAGAUGAAGGUUUACUUGUAUCAGCACUUGGAGCUGCUGGUAGAACCUACAGUUUAACUCUCCUGGAUGCAUCUUGGGCAAUCCUACGACGCUCCUUGCGUCAAAAGAAAGCCCCUAAUCCCGAAUCUUACCUUGGAAAGAUAUAUGCCCUUGCAUCAAUGGGGCAUCUGCAGAGAGCUUUUGGUACUUUACGUGAAUUUGAGUCCACUUACGAAAAUUCCAAUAAAGAAGUAGAAGAGGAGCUAUUCUCUCCAUUUACCUCUUUAUAUCCAUUGGUUGUGGCAUGCUCCAAGAAGGGUUUUGAGACUUUGGACUCUGUGUAUUUUCAACUGGAAAAUUUGAGCCGUGCAGAUCCUCCUUACAAGUCUGUUGCUGCUUUAAACUGCAUAAUAUUAGGUUGUGCAAAUAUCUGGGACCUUGAUCGUGCAUACCAAACCUUUGAUGCAAUUGGUACCUCUUUCGAAUUAACCCCUGAUAUUCAUUCUUAUAAUGCCCUGAUGUAUGCAUUUGGGAAGCUCAAGAAGACAUUUGAAGCUUCAAGAGUGUUUGAGCACUUAUUAGGUUUGGGUGUCAAACCCAAUGCAAUGUCAUAUUCAUUGCUCGUAGAUGCUCAUCUUAUCAACCGAGAUCCAAAAGCCGCCCUUUCUGCCAUUGAUGACAUGGUAAAUGCUGGUUUUGAACCAUCAAAAGAAACACUGAAGAAGGUCAGAAGGCGAUGUAUUAGAGAGAUGGACUAUGAGAGCAAUGACCGUGUGGAUGACCUAGCUAAAAAGUUUAAGUUUCGAAUGGGCUUAGACAUUCGCAGGGACAUGCUUUUUAAACUUGAUUACAGCACCGAAUAUGCCCGAUAGGUAAAUUUUAAGGCAGGGUAGGAAGCAGCAACAUCAAAGUGACUAAGAGAAAAUUUUAUUGUUGCUUAGAUCCUGUAUUUUUGGAUGAAAGGUUUGCUUUUUCUUUGGCGUGGAAAGUGCCUCUGCUCAUGAUUUAGUUCACAAUAUUAGCAACUGUCUAACUUUAUUUUUCCAGUGAGUUUCUUCCUUGUUUGUAAAUUAUCUGAUUGUACUCAUUUUUGGAAGUUGGCAGGAUGAAUGCUAGGAUCAUAGCCGCUCUUAUUUUC
Ziziphus jujuba (common jujube) is the source of this 2157-nucleotide RNA transcript. It is a transcript of the gene named pentatricopeptide repeat-containing protein At1g26460, mitochondrial, with no coding region annotated. The transcript is spliced from 7 exons. The record is from RefSeq and is a predicted model, not a curated record. Lineage: Eukaryota; Viridiplantae; Streptophyta; Magnoliopsida; Rosales; Rhamnaceae.